Molecule: long non-coding RNA, 272 nt
Organism: Solea senegalensis (Senegalese sole)
Lineage: Eukaryota; Metazoa; Chordata; Actinopteri; Pleuronectiformes; Soleidae
Exons: 3
Source: RefSeq, a predicted model, not a curated record
GUUUUUCCUCGGUUUGGCACAUAGUCUGACAGUGUUCCUGGCACUGAAACCGACGUGGUGACACGCUUACCUGGAUGCCAGCCUGGACAGCCAUGACUGCGAUGAUCGAUUCACUUCUUCAUCCUGUGGAUAAAUGACAAAGAUUGCAGAAGUGAUGCUGUGGAUGUGGAUGUGGAGCAAAGAGCCACUGAACCCGCUUCAACCUCCCCGUUGCCUGCAAUAUCAACUCCUUCUCUAUGAAACUUCUUCCUGCUGAGCCCUUUGUGUCUGGA